RNAcentral lists this ribosomal RNA (440 nucleotides) under uncultured bacterium. Its description in RNAcentral is "partial 16S ribosomal RNA". It matches the Rfam family "Bacterial small subunit ribosomal RNA", at positions 338 to 795 of the family's 1533-position model. The record is from RNAcentral.
CCUACGGGGCGCAGCAGUGGGGGAUAUUGCACAAUGGGGGAAACCCUGAUGCAGCGACGCCGCGUGUGGGAAGACGGUCCUCUGGAUUGUAAACCACUGUCCCCAGGGACGAAGAUGACGGUACCUGGGGAGGCCGCUCCGGCUAACUACGUGCCAGCAGCCGCGGUCAUACGUAGGGAGCGAGCGUUGUCCGGAAUUACUGGGUGUAAAGGGAGCGUAGGCGGGACUGCAAGUUGGGUGUCAAAUCUACCGGCUCAACCGGUAGCCGCACUCAAAACUGCAGUUCUUGAGUGAAGUAGAGGCAGGCGGAAUGCCUAGUGUAGCGGUGAAAUGCGUAGAUAUUAGGAGGAACACCAGUGGCGAAGGCGGCCUGCUGGGCUUUUACUGACGCUGAGGCUCGAAAGUGUGGGGAGCAAACAGGAUUAGAUACCCCAGUAGUC